This 442-nucleotide ribosomal RNA is filed under the name uncultured Nitrosospira sp. RNAcentral's name for it is "bacterial SSU rRNA". It matches the Rfam family "Bacterial small subunit ribosomal RNA", at positions 207 to 640 of the family's 1533-position model. The record is from RNAcentral. Lineage: Bacteria; Pseudomonadati; Pseudomonadota; Betaproteobacteria; Nitrosomonadales; Nitrosomonadaceae.
CAAGACCUUGCGCUUUUGGAGCGGCCGAUGUCUGAUUAGCUAGUUGGUGGGGUAAUGGCUUACCAAGGCUUCGAUCAGUAGCUGGUCUGAGAGGACGACCAGCCACACUGGGACUGAGACACGGCCCAGACUCCUACGGGAGGCAGCAGUGGGGAAUUUUGGACAAUGGGGGAAACCCUGAUCCAGCCAUGCCGCGUGAGUGAAGAAGGCCUUCGGGUUGUAAAGCUCUUUCAGCCGGAACGAAAUGGUCAUGGUUAACACCCGUGACAAAUGACGGUACCGGAAGAAGAAGCACCGGCUAACUACGUGCCAGCAGCCGCGGUAAUACGUAGGGUACAAGCGUUAAUCGGAAUUACUGGGCGUAAAGCGUGCGCAGGCGGUUUUGUAAGUCAGAUGUGAAAUCCCCGGGCUUAACCUGGGAACUGCGUUUGAAACUACAAUG